UGGGAGGGCUGGUGGAGGGUGGCUGCCUCUCGCACGCUGGUGUCCAGGUUUGAGGUUGUUUCUGAGCCUAGAGUCACAAUGCAAGUGUGUAACCAUGCCCACCUCCAGCCCUACACACGCUUCCAAAAGUCCCAGGUUUGGGCCCCGACGACGGAAAUAAUACAACUGAAUAGAGCAACAUACUAGAAAGACAGCAGGAGGGGAAUUUUUUUAAAGUAUACAAACUCAAAGAGAAAUUCAAAUGAAACAACUCAAUGGAUUCUGCAAACCAGCUUUCCCACAUUUCAAAAUGAUUAUAAAAGGCAUGUCUAAUCAGCUGCUUCCCAUGCAAUUCAGGAAGCCCUUAGCAUGGAAAGAGACAGAAAACCAUUCAAUCAGCAAUGCCCCAGUCAAUGAACAGUAUGUUCCUCUGCUAUCAUGCCUGUAGUGACCGCCCAUGGUUAAAAGGAACAGACCAGGUUCCAGAGAGCUACCGGGAUGAACACCUCCAGCAUCCCAGGGUGGAGCCCUUUCUGCAGCUGAGGCAUGCGGGAUCAAUGCUGCUAAAGAAAACAGAUACCAAGUGAACAGAAGAGUGGAAGCCUCAGGAAUGGGUGCAGAGGAGCUGUUUUCUGCAUACACAUUUUCAGAAAUACUGAGGACAGAAGCCCAGGGAUUCCUGGGUGGUGGAAACAGGCCUGCCAUACACUCAGAGCUCUGCAAAAAGCCAGGCUGGGAGGGACAGGAACCUGUAAAAGGUUUUGAUGCUUAAAAGAAUACUGAGUGCUUCCCCCCCUCCCUUGUUAAGGAGUUUCAUUGGGGACUGAGCACCGCUGCCUGGACUGUCUGUGAUAAAGCCAGAAAAGGAGCAAACUGAAAUGAGUCACUCCAGGUUUUACAAAAGAAACAGCAGUGUUUGGGCCCUAUAUGAUGAAUGGAAUAAGUUGCAUUUGCUUAUGUUCUUUUGGGAGGAAAAGCAUACAGGGAAUGACUGAUAAGUUUUCCUUAAUGACUACAAAAUACAAACUACUUGCAUAUCUUGUCCAACAUGUUUAUCCAGGGAAUCAUAACUUGCUAUUUUUAAUGCAAAGCUUAAAAACCCUAGAAACUAAUUAUAGAGUACAUUUUACCUCCCUUUAAUCUUAAAUGUAAUUCUUCACUUUGUGAGUGUUUUUGCCUGCAUGUAUGCAUACUUGGUGCCCAAGGAGAUUAAAAGAGGCCAUCAGAUCCCCUGGAACUAGAGUUACAGAUGGUUGUGAGCUCCCACAUUGGGUCUGGGAGUCAAACCCAGGCCCAAUAGAAGAGUACCCAGUGCUCUUACCUGAUAAGCCAUUUCUCCAGCCUUUUGAGCCAGGCAGUGGUGGUGCAUGCCUUUAAUCCCAGCACUCAGGAGGCAGAGGCAGACAGAUCCCUGUGAGUUUGAGGCCAGCCUGAUCUACAAAGUGAGUUCCAGGACAGCUCAGACUGUUACACAGAGAAACCUUGUCUCAAAAUAACAACAAAAUGGUCUAUUACUGGGUUUUCACUACACAGAUCAUAUGUGUGCAAACUCCAUGGCUUAUAUUUUGCUUUCAUUUAUUUGCUGUGUAUAGAUACAGCCUCAUCUUUUCUAUUUCUAGGAGGGAGUAGUCAAUACUAUGGAUCUGUACACCUCCAUUUCUUGGCAACUGCAAUACAGAGAGCCCCCAAAGGCACCACCAUUUAAGAAGAAUGACCAACAAAUGCUACUCAAUAAAGCAACAUGGCUGGCUAGCUCGACACAUAAUAUUAAUUACACAAUAGCCAACCAGGAAAUGUUACUUUCCCAUCAAAAUUGCAUUCUCUGUAUUAUUGAAGUCUCUAUGGUCUUAAGUACUCAACUCACUGCUCAACCACUGAUUGAAAACUAGAGUCCUCAUUUAAGCAUGUUGUUUAAAGAUCCAGGAGAUCUUGUGUGAAUAAAAUAAAGCCAAUCAAUAAUGACA
This is a long non-coding RNA of Mesocricetus auratus (golden hamster), 1943 nucleotides long. RefSeq lists it as uncharacterized. NCBI's taxonomy places the organism in Eukaryota, Metazoa, Chordata, Mammalia, Rodentia, Cricetidae. The transcript has 2 exons. The record is from RefSeq and is a predicted model, not a curated record.